Molecule: ribosomal RNA, 492 nt
Filed under: uncultured bacterium
Lineage: Bacteria
Description: partial 16S ribosomal RNA
Rfam family: Bacterial small subunit ribosomal RNA
Source: RNAcentral
AGUGAACGCUGGCGGUAGGCCUAACACAUGCAAGUCGAACGGCAGCACAGUAAGAGCUUGCUCUUACGGGUGGCGAGUGGCGGACGGUUGAGGAAUACAUCGGAAUCUACUUUUUCGUGGGGGAUAACGUAGGGAAACUUACGCUAAUACCGCAUACGACCUACGGGUGAAAGCAGGGGAUCUUCGGAUCUUGCGCGAUUGAAUGAGCCGAUGUCGGAUUAGCUAGUUGGCGGGGUAAAGGCCCACCAAGGCGACGAUCCGUAGCUGGUCUGAGAGGAUGAUCAGCCACACUGGAACUGAGACACGGUCCAGACUCCUACGGGAGGCAGCAGUGGGGAAUAUUGGACAAUGGGCGCAAGCCUGAUCCAGCCAUACCGCGUGGGUGAAGAAGGCCUUCGGGUUGUAAAGCCCUUUUGUUGGGAAAGAAAAGCAGCAGGUUAAUACCCCGCUGUUCUGACGGUACCCAAAGAAUAAGCACCGGCUAACUUCGUG